RNAcentral lists this transfer RNA (85 nucleotides) under Nitrososphaerota archaeon. RNAcentral's name for it is "Thaumarchaeota archaeon tRNA-Ala". It matches the Rfam family "tRNA". Rfam says of the family: Transfer RNA (tRNA) molecules are approximately 80 nucleotides in length. Their secondary structure includes four short double-helical elements and three loops (D, anti-codon, and T loops). Further hydrogen bonds mediate the characteristic L-shaped molecular structure. tRNAs have two regions of fundamental functional importance: the anti-codon, which is responsible for specific mRNA codon recognition, and the 3' end, to which the tRNAs corresponding amino acid is attached (by aminoacyl-tRNA synthetases). tRNAs cope with the degeneracy of the genetic code in two manners: having more than one tRNA (with a specific anti-codon) for a particular amino acid; and 'wobble' base-pairing, i.e. permitting non-standard base-pairing at the 3rd anti-codon position. The record is from RNAcentral. Lineage: Archaea; Thermoproteati; Nitrososphaerota.
GCGAGGGUAGCAGAGCCUGGCCAAAUGCGCGGGGCAAGCAAUCCCGUCCCUUAGGGGUACGUGGGUUCGAAUCCCACCCCUCGCA